UUUGCCUACGGGACGCAGCAGUGAGGAAUAUUGGUCAAUGGGCGGGAGCCUGAACCAGCCAAGUCGCGUGAGGGACGACGGUCCUAUGGAUUGUAAACCUCUUUUGUCGGGGAACAAAGGCGCCCACGGGUGGGCGGAUGAGUGUACCCGAAGAAAAAGCAUCGGCUAACUCCGUGCCAGCAGCCGCGGUAAUACGGAGGAUGCGAGCGUUAUCCGGAUUUAUUGGGUUUAAAGGGUGCGUAGGCGGUCCGUUAAGUCAGCGGUAAAAUUGCGGGGGUCAACCCCGUCGAGCCGUUGAAACUGGG
This 305-nucleotide ribosomal RNA is filed under the name uncultured bacterium. RNAcentral's name for it is "bacterial SSU rRNA". It matches the Rfam family "Bacterial small subunit ribosomal RNA", at positions 334 to 637 of the family's 1533-position model. The record is from RNAcentral.